RNAcentral lists this ribosomal RNA (253 nucleotides) under uncultured bacterium. RNAcentral describes it as "partial 16S ribosomal RNA". It matches the Rfam family "Bacterial small subunit ribosomal RNA", at positions 524 to 776 of the family's 1533-position model. The record is from RNAcentral.
UACGUAGGGGGCAAGCGUUGUCCGGAUUUAUUGGGCGUAAAGAGCGUGUAGGCGGUCUGGUAGGUCCGUUGUGAAAACUCGAGGCUCAACCUCGAGACGCCGAUGGAAACCAUCAGACUAGAGUCCGGAAGAGGAGAGUGGAAUUCCUGGUGUAGCGGUGAAAUGCGCAGAUAUCAGGAAGAACACCCGUGGCUAAGGCGGCUCUCUAGUACGGUACUGACGCUGAGGAGCGAAAGCGUGGGGAGCGAACAGG